UUGGUCAUGCUAGAAAGAGCGUAUGGUGGAUGCCUUGGCACUAAGAGCCGAUGAAAGACGUGAUAAGCUGCGAAAAGCUUCGGGGAGGAGCAAAUAUCCUUUGAUCCGGAGAUAUCUGAAUGGGGAAACCCACUUGAGCAAACCUCAAGUAUCCUUAAGCCAAUACAUAACUUAAGGAAGGGAACCCGGUGAACUGAAACAUCUAAGUAGCCGGAGGAAGAGAAAACAACAUGUGAUUCUGUGAGUAGCGGCGAGCGAAAACGGAAGAGCCCAAACCGGGGUGCGUGCAUCCCGGGGUUCGGACCGCAUAAUUGAUUCAACGAAUUUAGCAGAACGGUUUUGGGAAAGCCGGCCAGAGAGGGUGAAAGCCCCGUAAGCGAAAGAUGAGUUGACAUGGCGGUAUCCAGAGUAGGUCGAGACACGUGGAACCUUGACUGAAGAUGCGGGGACCACCCCGUAAGGCUAAAUACUCCUUAGUGACCGAUAGCGCAUAGUACUGUGAAGGAACGGUGAAAAGGACCCCGGGAGGGGAGUGAAACAGAACCUGAAACCAUAUGUUUACAAGCUGUGGAACCACUUUAUAUGUGGAACCGCGUACUUUUUGUAGAACGGUCCGGCGAGUUGCGCUGGCUGGCGAGGUUAAGCACCAAAGGUGUGGAGCCGAAGGGAAACCAAGUCUUAAUAGGGCGAAUGAGUCAGUCGGAGCAGACCCGAAACCGGGUGAUCUAUCCAUGUCCAGGUUGAAGUUGCCGUAAAAGGCAAUGGAGGACCGAACCCACAUCCGUUGAAAAGGGUGGGGAUGAGGUGUGGAUAGGGGAGAAAUUCCAAUCGAACCCGGAGAUAGCUGGUUCUCCUCGAAAUAGCUUUAGGGCUAGCCUCAUAUAAGUCUUGCGGAGGUAGAGCACUGAAUUUCCUAGGGGGCGUCAAAGCUUACCGAAGAAUAUCAAACUCCGAAUGCCGUGUAGAUGUUGUAUGGGAGUCAGACUGUACGAGAUAAGUUGGACAGUCAAAAGGGAAAGAGCCCAGACCUGCAGCUAAGGCCCCAAAAUGUGUGUUAAGUGGAAAAGGAUGUGGGAUUUCAAAGACAACUAGGAUGUUGGCUUAGAAGCAGCCAUACAUUCAAAGAGUGCGUAAUAGCUCACUAGUCGAGAGGUCCUGCGCCGAAAAUGUCCGGGGCUGAAACACACUGCCGAAGCUCAGGAAUGUACCUAGUACAUUGGUAGAGGAGCAUUGUAUACGGGACGAAGCAGUACCGAUAAGGAGCUGUGGACUGUAUAGAAGAGAGAAUGCCGGAAUGAGUAGCGAGAGGAAGGUGAGAAUCCUUCCGGCCGAAUAUCUAAGGUUUCCAGAGUAAAGCUGAUCUGCUCUGGGUAAGUCGGGGCCUAAGGCCAGGUCGAAAGACGUAACCGAUGGACAACAGGUUGAAAUUCCUGUACCUUAAGUAAACAGAACUGUGGGGACACGUGUGGAGAGCACAAGCCGGAAAUGGAAAAGCCGGUGCAAGCGAGGUAGGAGAUGAAUAGGAAAAUCCGUUCAUCAAUCCGAAGACGUGAUGCGGACCGAAUUAAGAGUAGGGAAGUGUGUGAGCCAUGCGUCAAGAAAAGCCGCUAUUGUUUUACUUAAGCCCGUACCGUAAACCGACACAGGUGGAUGAGGAGAGAAUCCUAAGGCCGACGGGAGAAGCAUUGUUAAGGAACUCGGCAAAAUGACUCCGUAACUUCGGGAGAAGGAGUGCCA
This 1737-nucleotide ribosomal RNA is filed under the name Dorea sp. BIOML-A1. RNAcentral's name for it is "partial 23S ribosomal RNA". It matches the Rfam family "Bacterial large subunit ribosomal RNA", at positions 1 to 1753 of the family's 2925-position model. The record is from RNAcentral. Lineage: Bacteria; Bacillati; Bacillota; Clostridia; Lachnospirales; Lachnospiraceae.